UUAAUUUGACUCAACACGGGAAACCUCAUCCGGCCCAGACACGGACAGGAUUGACAGAUUGAUAGCUCUUUCUCAAUUCCGUGGGUGGUGGUGCGUGGCCAUUCGUAGUUGGUGGAGCGAUUUGUCUGGUUAAUUCCGAUAACGGCAAGGCUGGUUUAAUAUUAGAAAAACCAUUAAUGUAAUCUACCAUAUAAAUAAAACAAAAGACAAAAACCACAUGAUCUUAUCAAUUGAUAGAGAAAAGGCAUUUGACAAAGUCCAACACCCAUUUAUGAUAAAAACU
Molecule: non-coding RNA, 283 nt
Filed under: Loxodonta africana (African savanna elephant)
Lineage: Eukaryota; Metazoa; Chordata; Mammalia; Proboscidea; Elephantidae
Description: Eukaryotic small subunit ribosomal RNA
Rfam family: Eukaryotic small subunit ribosomal RNA
Source: Rfam by way of RNAcentral